Oncorhynchus tshawytscha (Chinook salmon) is the source of this 384-nucleotide long non-coding RNA. The record is from Ensembl. Lineage: Eukaryota; Metazoa; Chordata; Actinopteri; Salmoniformes; Salmonidae.
GGGAUGUGUUUAGCUGUUAUGAGGGGAUGUGUUCAGCAGUUAUGAGGGGAUGUGUUUAGCAGUUAUGGGGGGGUGUUUAGGUGUUAUGAGGGGAUGUGUUUAGCUGUUAUGAGGGGAUGUGUUUAGCUGUUAUGAGUGGGUGUGUUUAGCUGUUAUGAGGGGGUGUGACUAGCUGUUAUGAGGGGGUGGGGUGUUUUGCUGUUAUGAGGGGAUGUGUUUAGCUGUUAUGAGGGAGUGUGACUAGCUGUUAUGAGGGGGUGUAUUUAGCUGUUAUGAGGGGAUGUGUUUAGCUGUUAUGAGGGGGUGUGACUAGCUGUUAUGAGGGGAUGUGUUUAGCUGUUAUGAGGGUGUGUCACUAAGCUGUUAUGAGGGGAUGUGUUUAGA